This 381-nucleotide ribosomal RNA is filed under the name Mastus cretensis. RNAcentral describes it as "partial 16S ribosomal RNA". The record is from RNAcentral. Lineage: Eukaryota; Metazoa; Mollusca; Gastropoda; Stylommatophora; Enidae.
CAUAAUAACUUGUCUUUUAAUUGGGGACUGGCAUGAAAGGCACCAUGGGGAUAAGCUGUCUUAUAAAGAUUUUAUAAAAUUUAUUGAGAAGGUGAAAAUACCUUCAGGAUUGAAAUAAGACGAGAAGACCCUUAGAAUUAUAACAAUACUUCUUGUGAUUAGGGAAAAAGUUUUUGUUGGGGCAACAUUAUCAGAGUGAAAACUGGUGAUUGUAAUUAUUACAAACCCAUUAUAGUAAAGGUGAAUUUAAUUACCUAAGGGAUAACAGCAUAAUUCAGCUAUGAGAGUAUGACCUCGAUGUUGGACUAGGGACUUUUUACAUUAGACGUGUAAUAAGAUUGUUCUGUUCGAACAAAUUACCCUACGUGAUCUGAGUUCAGA